CAAUAGCGUAUAUUUAAGUUGUUGCAGUUAAAAAGCUCGUAGUUGGAUUUCGGAUGGGAUUUGCCGGUCCGUCGUUACGAUGUGCACUGGCCAGUCCUAUCUUGUUGUCGGGGACUAGCUCCUUGGAUUCACUUCCUGGGACUAGGAGCUGACGAGGUUACUUUGAGUAAAUUAGAGUGUUCAAAGCAAGCCUACGCUCUGAAUACAUUAGCAUGGAAUAACACGAUAGGACUCUGGCUUAUCUUGUUGGUCUGUAGGACCGGAGUAAUGAUUAAGAGGGACAGUCGGGGGCAUUCGUAUUUCAUUGUCAGAGGUGAAAUUCUUGGAUUUAUGAAAGACGAACUACUGCGAAAGCAUUUGCCAAGGAUGUUUUCAUUAA
RNAcentral lists this ribosomal RNA (379 nucleotides) under uncultured eukaryote. Its description in RNAcentral is "partial 18S ribosomal RNA". It matches the Rfam family "Eukaryotic small subunit ribosomal RNA", at positions 592 to 976 of the family's 1831-position model. The record is from RNAcentral.